AAAUCACUUAGUAAUAAAAAUAACCGAAUUAAAUGAUUGAUAAAUCCAUACAUACAUAUAGUAUAUAAAGGAAAAAAUUUCCUUCUUACUGCUAUCACCAAAAUGGAGAAGUUUAAACAUAUGUUUAUUAUAUAUGUUCUGGUUUCUGUUAUGAUGAUCAGCACUAACGUUUAUGGACAAACCUAUAUAAAUUAUGGCCUUCCUAGUUACAACGGUCCUUCUUGUAGUAUUGGAACUGCAGAUAUCAGCUUUCUUGGUUUUGAAGCAUCCUUCAAUCAUAUGCCUUGUGCUUUUCAUUGUUACUUAAAGCUAAAAACUGGGGGGUAUUGCCAUGAUGGUGUAUGUAUUUGCAGACAUUAAACUUUUACUUUUAUAUACCAAAUAGUUUUAUUGAAAAUUAUUUGAAAAAAAUCAAGAAUAUAAUGUUUCUAAAAUAAUUCCUAUAACUACUACGAAUUAUUUUGUAAUUAUACAUUCUGAAAAAUAUUGGAAUUAAUAUGGUUAGUAAAAUGUGAAUAUGUCUCCAAAUAAUAGAUAUUGAUAAGAAAAUAAUAAAUAUUUUGUCGCAAACGUAAUAAAAUUCAAUUGAAAAUUACUAUAUAUAAAAAAUGAUAAGGUACCCCAGGAAGUAAUUUCGAGUUCUAAAUUGAACAUUUUCUGGAAUAAACAACGAGUUUGGCGAGUAUGUGUAGAGAAAAGAAUAAUCAUAUAAAAACAUGUAUUGUAAUCAUUAUUAUUUAUAAAAGUAGAUUUAUUUUAUUACAAAAUAAUAAUAAAUCACGUAGCAAUAAAAACGACUGAAUCAAAUGAUUAAUAAACCCAAGGUAUAUAAAGACAACCAUUUUCUUCACACUGCUUUUGGCAAAAUGAGCAAGCUUCAACAUAUGUUUAUUAUUUAUGUUCUGGUUUCUGUUAUGGUGAUCAGUACUUAUGGACAGUCAAAAAAGAAUUAUGAUAAAGAAUAUGAAGAUUAUGAUGGUGAUGUUCCGAGAGGCCCUUCUUGCAACACAAACAUUAAUUUUCUUGGUAUCAAAGCAUCACUCAAUCAUGCGCCUUGUGCCUUAUAUUGUUACAUGAAACUAAAAUCAGGAGGGUAUUGCAAAUAUGAUACAUGCAUUUGCAGAGAUUAAACACAUAUUUUUAUAUACAAAAUAGUUUUAUUGUAAAGAAAAAAAACUAUAUUGUUACUAAAAUAGCAAAUUUUGUAAUGAUCAUGUUUGUGAAAUAAUAAAUAAUAUAAUAAUCCAGA
This is a long non-coding RNA of Aethina tumida (small hive beetle), 1249 nucleotides long. RefSeq lists it as uncharacterized. The record is from RefSeq and is a predicted model, not a curated record. The transcript is spliced from 3 exons. Lineage: Eukaryota; Metazoa; Arthropoda; Insecta; Coleoptera; Nitidulidae.